Molecule: ribosomal RNA, 154 nt
Organism: Protopterus annectens (West African lungfish)
Lineage: Eukaryota; Metazoa; Chordata; Ceratodontiformes; Protopteridae
Product: 5.8S ribosomal RNA
Exons: 1
Source: RefSeq, a predicted model, not a curated record
AACUCUGAGUGGUGGAUCACUCUGCUCACGCGUCAAUGAAGAAUGCAGCUAGCUGUGAGAACUAAUGUGAAUUGCAGGACACAUUGAUCAUCAACACUUCGAACGCACUUUACGGCCCUGGGUUAUGCCCGGGGCUAUGCCUAUCUCAGGGUUG